This 316-nucleotide small nuclear RNA is filed under the name Erinaceus europaeus (western European hedgehog). RNAcentral's name for it is "7SK RNA". It matches the Rfam family "7SK RNA". Rfam says of the family: 7SK was discovered as an abundant small nuclear RNA in the mid-70s but a possible function has only recently been suggested. Two independent studies have found that 7SK RNA binds the CDK9/cyclin T complex (known as elongation factor P-TEFb). Lineage: Eukaryota; Metazoa; Chordata; Mammalia; Eulipotyphla; Erinaceidae. The record is from Rfam by way of RNAcentral.
GGAUGUGAGGGUGAUCUGGCUGUGACAUCUGUCACCCCAUCAGUCGCCAGGGUUGAUUCGGCUGAUCUGGCUGGCUAGGCAUGUGUCCCCUUCCUCCCUCACCGCUCCAUGUGAGUCCCUCCCGAAGUUGCGCACUCGGUCGAAGACAGCCUUCCCCGAAUAGAGACGGACUGGUCUUCGGUCGAGGGUAUAGGAGUAGCUGCGCUCCCCUGCUAGAACCUCCAAAUAAGCUCUCAAGGAAGGAGAGACAAACUUGCUGCAGGUCCAUUCUACAGAUGAACUAGCUGGGACUCCCAGGGCAAGUACUCAAUUUGCU